CCUACGGGAGGCAGCAGUGGGGAAUAUUGCACAAUGGGGGAAACCCUGAUGCAGCGACGCCGCGUGAGUGAAGAAGUCAUUCGUUAUGUAAAGCUCUAUCAGCAGGGAAGAAAAUGACGGUGCCUGAGUAAGACUCCCCGGCUAACUCCGUGCCAGCAGCCGCGGUCAUACGUAGGGGGCACACGUUAUCCGGAUUUACUGGGUGUAAAGGGAGCGUAGACGGCAGUGCAAGACGGGAGUGAAAGGCGGGGGCUCAACCCCCGGACUGCUCUGGAAACUGUACGGCUGGAGUGCAGGAGAGGUAAGUGGAAUUCCUAGUGUAGCGGUGAAAUGCGUAGAUAUUAGGAGGAACACCAGUGGCGAAGGCGGCUUACUGGACUGUAACUGACGUUGAGGCUCGAAAGCGUGGGGAGCAAACAGGAUUAGAUACCCCAGUAGUC
RNAcentral lists this ribosomal RNA (440 nucleotides) under uncultured bacterium. Its description in RNAcentral is "partial 16S ribosomal RNA". It matches the Rfam family "Bacterial small subunit ribosomal RNA", at positions 338 to 795 of the family's 1533-position model. The record is from RNAcentral.